AUUGAACGCUGGCGGAAUGCUUUACACAUGCAAGUCGAACGGCAGCACGGGGCAACCUGGUGGCGAGUGGCGAACGGGUGAGUAAUACAUCGGAACGUGCCCAAUCGUGGGGGAUAACGUUUCGAAAGGAACGCUAAUACCGCAUACGCCCCAAGGGGGAAAGCGGGGGAUCUUCGGACCUCGUGCUAUAGGAGGAGCCUGCGUCGGAUUAGCUAGUUGGUGAGGUAAAGGCUCACCAAGGCGACGAUCCGUAGCUGGUCUGAGAGGAUGAUCAGCCACACCGGAACUGAGACACGGUCCGGACUCCUACGGGAGGCAGCAGUGGGGAAUAUUGCGCAAUGGGCGAAAGCCUGACGCAGCCAUACCGCGUGUGUGAAGAAGGCCUUCGGGUUGUAAAGCACUUUCAGUGGGGAGGAAAAGCUGGUGGCUAAUAUCCAUCGGCCGUGACGCUACCCACAGAAGAAGCACCGGCUAAUUCCGUG
RNAcentral lists this ribosomal RNA (482 nucleotides) under uncultured bacterium. RNAcentral describes it as "bacterial SSU rRNA". It matches the Rfam family "Bacterial small subunit ribosomal RNA", at positions 29 to 507 of the family's 1533-position model. The record is from RNAcentral.